Molecule: transfer RNA, 73 nt
Filed under: Felis catus (domestic cat)
Lineage: Eukaryota; Metazoa; Chordata; Mammalia; Carnivora; Felidae
Also listed under: 3 other names
Rfam family: tRNA
About the family: Transfer RNA (tRNA) molecules are approximately 80 nucleotides in length.
Source: Rfam by way of RNAcentral
GCCUGGCUGGCUCAGUCAGUAGAGCAUGUGACUCUUAAUCUCAGGGAUGUGAGUUCUAGCCCUACCUUGGGUG